GCUGGUGUAGCUCAGUGGUAGAGCAUUUGCCCAGAAUGCACAAAGCCCUGGGUUCAUUCCAGCACUAAAA
RNAcentral lists this transfer RNA (70 nucleotides) under Marmota monax (woodchuck). It matches the Rfam family "tRNA". From Rfam's summary of the family: Transfer RNA (tRNA) molecules are approximately 80 nucleotides in length. Their secondary structure includes four short double-helical elements and three loops (D, anti-codon, and T loops). Further hydrogen bonds mediate the characteristic L-shaped molecular structure. tRNAs have two regions of fundamental functional importance: the anti-codon, which is responsible for specific mRNA codon recognition, and the 3' end, to which the tRNAs corresponding amino acid is attached (by aminoacyl-tRNA synthetases). tRNAs cope with the degeneracy of the genetic code in two manners: having more than one tRNA (with a specific anti-codon) for a particular amino acid; and 'wobble' base-pairing, i.e. permitting non-standard base-pairing at the 3rd anti-codon position. The record is from Rfam by way of RNAcentral. Lineage: Eukaryota; Metazoa; Chordata; Mammalia; Rodentia; Sciuridae.